Molecule: ribosomal RNA, 253 nt
Filed under: uncultured bacterium
Lineage: Bacteria
Description: partial 16S ribosomal RNA
Rfam family: Bacterial small subunit ribosomal RNA
Source: RNAcentral
UACGUAGGCAGCGAGCGUUGUUCGGAGUUACUGGGCGUAAAGGGUGUGUAGGCGGUUUUCUAAGUUUGGUGUGAAAUCUCCCGGCUUAACCGGGAGGGUGCGCCGAAAACUGGGAGACUAGAGUGCGGGAUGGGAGAGUAGAAUUCCUGGUGUAGCGGUGAAAUGCGCAGAUAUCGGGAAGAACACCCGUGGCGAAGGCGGCUCUCUGGGACGGUACUGACGCUGAGACGCGAAAGCGUGGGGAGCGAACAGG